AGGCUCCUUGAAGACGCCCGUGGUGAGAUCAGCCCCAGGUCGCCGCUUCCACAGACAGGCCUUUUCCUAAAGUGGAUGAAGGGAGUCAAAUAGGCCAGCUUCGUGUCUUGAUCUGCCUUUGCUGUCAUUCACGCAUCUGUCCUCAUGAAGGCUUAACCUACCAUGUUUAUCAGAAAUCUCAGCCUAAAUUCAUUCGAUUUUUACCUAGAGAUGAGGAAUGUGUUAAAUCACUCUACUCCACAAGGAACCAAACCAAACAGCAUCAGCACCAGGCUGAGUCGCGGAAAGGAUCUGUCAGACCGCUCCACUGGCAUCGACUCAGCUCGGGAGCUACGUUCAAAGAAGGAGGACAUUUAAGGUGAAAGGGUUGCAGGCAGAGGGGCCUGGAGCAGCAGGAGGCCACCUCCCAAAGGCUCCACUCCCAGGGGCCAACAGAGAGACCACAUCCAGAAUUGAACCAGGGAUACGCAGACACCAACGGAGAAGACAUGAGCGUCAACCUCCUCCACGGAGCAGCACGGCUUCUCUACUGACAUCCAUGAACUAGACUACAACUCUCUAAGUUAAUCAAAUUUACUAAGUUAGUUAUCACCGACAUCACUGUUCCAU
RNAcentral lists this long non-coding RNA (609 nucleotides) under Homo sapiens (human). RNAcentral describes it as "HSALNT0157612". Lineage: Eukaryota; Metazoa; Chordata; Mammalia; Primates; Hominidae. The record is from RNAcentral.